This 397-nucleotide ribosomal RNA is filed under the name uncultured eukaryote. RNAcentral's name for it is "SSU rRNA". It matches the Rfam family "Eukaryotic small subunit ribosomal RNA", at positions 587 to 973 of the family's 1831-position model. The record is from RNAcentral.
AGCUCCAAUAGCGUAUAUUAAAGUUGCUGCAGUUAAAAAGCUCGUAGUUGGAUUUCUGGUGUGGCGCGUCCGACCCGCCGCGGUUACGCGUGUGAGUGUUAGAUGCUGCCUGCCAUAGUGUCAUGCACUGUCAGGUGCCCUUCACUGGGUGCUCGACAGCUGCUGACUCGGUUACUUUGAAAAAAUUAGAGUGUUUAAAGCGUGCGAUAUACAGCUCAUGAAUAGAUUAGCAUGGAAUAACAAUCUAGGACUUCGGUCCUAUGUUUGUUGGUGUUUGGGGAUCGAAGUAAUGAUGUAGAGGGAUAGUUGGGGGUGCUCAUAUUCAGAGGCCAGAGGUGAAAUUCUUGGAUUCUCUGAAGAUGAACUACUGCGAAAGCAUUCACCAAGGAUGUCUCUU